UUGUCUGGUAGUGCAAAAAAGAGAUUCCGAUUGGAAGAAUCCCAGAAAUUAAGUUUUGAAUCAAGGGAACUGGAGAGGUCAACUUUUGAUUCUUUGGAGUGGAGGAGACAGGGGGUUCUUCCAUGGGUCUUUUACCUAGGGAUGUUUCUCCUAAGGUUUGAGAAUGAUCGGAAAAAUCCGCCUGAGAAGAGGCAAACCCUUAGAGUGAUCGGACCCUAGGUCUACCUAUUCAGGGAAUAGAGAAGGGGGUUUCCCUUGGAGUGGGUUCUCUUUCUAGUGGAGGCAGAAUGGGUUUUGCAUUGUUUAGCCAUUGUAGGAGGUUGGUGGUGAAGCAAGAUUUUAAAGAAG
This 348-nucleotide long non-coding RNA is filed under the name Nicotiana benthamiana. RNAcentral's name for it is "long non-coding RNA (NBEN_LNC018475)". Lineage: Eukaryota; Viridiplantae; Streptophyta; Magnoliopsida; Solanales; Solanaceae. The record is from RNAcentral.